RNAcentral lists this ribosomal RNA (500 nucleotides) under uncultured bacterium. RNAcentral describes it as "partial 16S ribosomal RNA". It matches the Rfam family "Bacterial small subunit ribosomal RNA", at positions 30 to 523 of the family's 1533-position model. The record is from RNAcentral.
AUUGAACGCUGGCGGAAUGCUUUACACAUGCAAGUCGAACGGCAGCACGGACUUCGGUCUGGUGGCGAGUGGCGAACGGGUGAGUAAUGUAUCGGAACGUGCCCAGUCGUGGGGGAUAACGUAGUGAAAAUUACGCUAAUACCGCAUACGAUCUAUGGAUGAAAGCGGGGGAUCGCAAGACCACGCGCGAUUGGAGCGGCCGAUAUCAGAUUAGGUAGUUGGUGGGGUAAAGGCCCACCAAGCCAACGAUCUGUAGCUGGUCUGAGAGGACGACCAGCCACACUGGAACUGAGACACGGUCCAGACUCCUACGGGAGGCAGCAGUGGGGAAUUUUGGACAAUGGGCGAAAGCCUGAUCCAGCCAUUCCGCGUGCAGGAUGAAGGCCCUCGGGUUGCAAACUGCUUUUGUACAGAACGAAAAGGUUUCUACUAAUACUAGGAGCUCAUGACGGUACUGUAAGAAUAAGCACCGGCUAACUACGUGCCAGCCGCCGCAGUAA